AGAUACUUGAUUCUUCUAUAACCUUGUGAAAGCCAAAUGUAAGUGGCACUACUGUCUGACAAUCAAAACAAAACGGAUGGUUUAUGGUACAAAACAGCAGAAACGAUGAACAUAGGACGAGCACAGUAGAGCACAAAUGAUGGUAACCGAUUGAAAAUGGCACCAUUGAAGCUUCUAUUUAAUAGAGGAAGUGAUGCUAAAUACAAUGCAGAUUUUCUUCAUUGCUCCAAAGCAAGCACUACACGAGCAAAAAAUUUAUUCUCUGGUGGUCACUCUCAACAUUCCAUGUUACAAGUUUGUUUUUGUCCAUCUUCACAGCAACAAAUAAAAGAAAAAUGUGUCUUGGCUAGGGUUAGUAAUUUCAUGCAUUCACCUACGUACACGGUUCUUAGCAGGAGAAAGCAGCAUAGACCCAAUAAUACUUUUACUGCAUGUAAAAUGCAUCGUGCGCCCAUGAAUAGCUAGUAUCUUCACAAAAUAACUAUUUCUUGGGGUAAGUUUGAUGAUCAGGUCCGAUAUCACGCGAACCAGUGUUGAUGUAAGGCCCCCGGAAAGUUGCCUGAGGUGGUAGUGCCUUUGACGAGUCAAUCACAGGCUUCAUCUUUG
This 606-nucleotide long non-coding RNA is filed under the name Actinidia chinensis (golden kiwifruit). Its description in RNAcentral is "long non-coding RNA (ACHI_LNC006091)". The record is from RNAcentral. Lineage: Eukaryota; Viridiplantae; Streptophyta; Magnoliopsida; Ericales; Actinidiaceae.